UCUUCAUUCAUGAUUCUUAUAUAUCUAUUAACUCGGUCCCACCCUGCCAUCCCAUCCUGCUAACUCCCCCAUGUCAUUUGCCCUGUUCGAGGAGCAUUACUGAUUAUUCAAACAUCAAUCUUGCUAUAGUGAUAGAGUCGAUGACGGAUAAUUAGACAAUUUAAAAAAAAAAAAAAAUUAUAAAUAAAAACCACAACAAUUAAUCCCACCCUUGCCACAAUAUACUGUCACCUCACCUCCUAUCAUUGACCUUGGCCAAAGAGCAUUAUUCUUCAAUCAUUUCUAUCAUCCACCUGAACAAAGAGAUUGAAUAAUGGAUCCCAAUGUCUAAUCCACGGCAUUGUUCAAUCAAUAUUGCUACAGCGAUAGAGUUAAUGAUAACUCAAUGACAAAGGGACACGUAUCAAUACAUAAUGAGACAGUUUGGAAAAAUAAUAAUAAUAAUAAUAAUAAAAGGGGGAAAGAACAACCAAUCCCACCCUAUCACAACACUCAGUCAUCUUACCUCUUGCUAUUGACCUUAUCCAAGGAACAUUAUUCUUGUUCCAUAUGUGUGCAAGCUCUUUGACGAGGCCUUCCAAAGAUAGGUCCGUACGUGUGGCUGUGUCUGAGUUUGAGAAAUGGAUUCAUAAAUGCUCUUUCGUUGCUGAAAAAUCACACUCCCAUGUUAAUAUGCUCCCUAGUGCCAUGCUCAGCAGAUGCACAUGAGGCACGGCGUUCAUUAGGGCGGAUUGAAUCGAAUCUUCUAGCAGAAAACAAA
This 760-nucleotide long non-coding RNA is filed under the name Olea europaea subsp. europaea. Lineage: Eukaryota; Viridiplantae; Streptophyta; Magnoliopsida; Lamiales; Oleaceae. The record is from RNAcentral.